This is a long non-coding RNA of Pecten maximus, 502 nucleotides long. RefSeq lists it as uncharacterized. The record is from RefSeq and is a predicted model, not a curated record. Lineage: Eukaryota; Metazoa; Mollusca; Bivalvia; Pectinida; Pectinidae. The transcript has 3 exons.
GGUAGCUGUCCAUCACUUUGAAUCGUGCGCGGACAGCUAAUGACGUGGGUACCAGCUUGUAGAUAUUGAUCCGGAAUACAUUUCAAACAAGAGAUGAGUGGCAGUUUUAAUCAUUCCCAUACAUUUUUGUGAAUUGAGGUGGUCGGUCGUUAAAGGAAACGUGACCAAUACCCAAGGAUGCGGUUUUACAUCUUCAUUAUAGGGGUCUUACUUCUUGUGACAAAAACACAACAGACCGCUCUGCCGGAUGCCUGCAACCUGCCAAUGUACCAGGGGGACUGUACGGAAUACAUAUCCCGUUGGUAUUACGACUCGGUCACUGGAGCAUGCGUGGAGUUCAUAUACAGUGGUUGCUAUGGAAACGGUAACAACUUCUACACCAAGGACGCAUGCCUAGCGCAGUGUACUUAAGCCGGGAACUGUUACUACUACAUUUGACAUGGAUCAGGAAGGAAGAUAAUGCUUAUAAUCUAUUUUAAUUAAUAAAGUCAAUAUCACCAAA